RNAcentral lists this unclassified non-coding RNA (234 nucleotides) under uncultured fungus. Its description in RNAcentral is "sequence contains ITS1, 5.8S rRNA gene". The stretch from base 186 to 234 matches the Rfam family "5.8S ribosomal RNA", at positions 1 to 49 of the family's 154-position model. The record is from RNAcentral. Lineage: Eukaryota; Fungi.
UCUCCGUAGGUGAACCUGCGGAGGGAUCAUUACCGAGUGAGGGUCCUUGUGGCCCGACCUCCAACCCCCUGUCUUCCGACUCUGUUGCCUCGGGGGCGACCCGGCCCUCUGGGCGUCGGGGCCCCCGGUGGCUCACACCUCAACUCUUGCAUCUGUGCGUCUGAGUAACAUAUUGAAUCAAUCAAAACUUUCAACAACGGAUCUCUUGGUUCUGGCAUCGAUGAAGAACGCAGC